This 497-nucleotide ribosomal RNA is filed under the name uncultured bacterium. RNAcentral's name for it is "partial 16S ribosomal RNA". It matches the Rfam family "Bacterial small subunit ribosomal RNA", at positions 28 to 507 of the family's 1533-position model. The record is from RNAcentral.
GAUGAACGCUGGCGGCGUGCCUAAUACAUGCAAGUCGAGCGAACGGACGAGAAGCUUGCUUCUCUGAUGUUAGCGGCGGACGGGUGAGUAACACGUGGAUAACCUACCUAUAAGACUGGGAUAACUUCGGGAAACCGGAGCUAAUACCGGAUAAUAUUUUGAACCGCAUGGUUCAAAAGUGAAAGACGGUCUUGCUGUCACUUAUAGAUGGAUCCGCGCUGCAUUAGCUAGUUGGUAAGGUAACGGCUUACCAAGGCAACGAGGCAUACCCGACCUGAGAGGGUGAUCGGCCACACUGGAACGGAGACACGGUCCAGACUCCUACGGGAGGCAGCAGUAGGGAAUCUUCCGCAAUGGGCGAAAGCAUGACGGAGCAACGCGGCGUGAGUGAUGAAGGUCUUCGGAUCGUAAAACUCUGUUAUUAGGGAAGAACAUAUGUGUAAGUAACUGUGCACAUCUUGACGGUACCUAAUCAGAAAGCCACGGCUAACUACGUG